Molecule: long non-coding RNA, 7658 nt
Organism: Acanthaster planci (crown-of-thorns starfish)
Lineage: Eukaryota; Metazoa; Echinodermata; Asteroidea; Valvatida; Acanthasteridae
Source: RefSeq, a predicted model, not a curated record
ACAGACUUGGCCUACAUGUAUAUGUAUUUCAUUAUUUUGUUGGGUUUUAAAAAUACUUCAGGGGUCACUUUCAGAUGUAAACUGAGCUUCGCUGAAGCUUUUAUAGUAUACUUUUCUCUAAUGUUUAGGUAAAAAUGGUGACAUUUAAAGGGCAACGAAUCAUUUGGAUUGUUGAGUUCCUCACCAUUCGCUGAGUUUGAAACAUGAGUUUGGGUUACUGCAUGGUUUUGCUUUUGAUGUAGAGCUUAACCUUUCAGGCAGAAAAUGUUAAAAGUAAAUUAUUUCUGUGCAUAUUUUGUCAUAAGUUACUGCAGGGUUCUACAAAGCCUCUUCUCCCUCUACAAAGUCGCAGCAGUAGCAACUAAGAAUCUCUUACUCAAAACGCUGUCUUUGAAGGAGUAAAUAUAAUGGAGCAUCAAUCAAACUACAAUGAAAAGAUAUCAACAAACGGAAGUACAUGAAUGGGACUGAAGAAAUAUGCUCGUCUAAAGCGUGAUCUCAUCUCAAGUGUGCUCGUGUUAAUCGUGCUCGACUUCAUUUUCAAAUAUAUCAAUAUGAUUAGACCUUGAAAUAAACUGGCAUGGUUACGUUCGUUAAAUCUUGACAAGCCUCAGAAGAUACUUUAAAUUUUCACUUCAGUAAUGUUUAAUAUAACAAAAUGUAAGUUGAAACCCUGUUGACCAGAACUUUAUUACUCGACAUGAUUGAAAAAACUUCAAAUGUGCGUGUUUACGUUCUGAAAUCCCGAAGAGGAAUGAAACAAAUUGUAUCUUUACAUGUCCAUCGUCAGAGUUGCAAUUUACCACAAGAAUGGCUUCCCUCAUUGGCUUGGCUGUAUUAAAGCACACUCAAAUUUAAAGUUUGCUGCCCUUUUGAGUUCACCCACCCUUGCUGUGAACAGGUUUUGCAGUUUAUACGCUGCCAAGUGUUUUCACUGUUUAGAAGAUUGGGGCUGUGAGAUCUGUAGCCUUUUCAGCAUCCUAUGUCAAAGGCAAUGCUGGAGGUAUUCAAGUAAAAAGACAAGGCUUUAUAUCGCAGUGGCUGGGACUCCAUUCUUGCUACUUGAUUUCAUUCUGCUGACGAAUGCUUACUCUUUGUAAUGGUUUUAGUUAUAAGCCAACUAUCAGUAUAGCAGUUUGGUUAUUAACAAGCUUGAGUGUGUAGUUCUACCCUAGGAAUAGGGUUUUUCAUUCUAAAAGCGGUUUUUGGGGUAGGCAUGUUUAAUAGCAAUGGGCACAGUGCAUGCCUUGAGAAACCCCUUGCAAGCUGUAUUGUUAACAUAAUUCAUUGGAAGAAAGUACUUAGUAUAAUCUUCUCUGGCCAGACGAAGCUCGAUGCUUUGUUCCCUUUGUAUUGUAUGUCUGAGUCAUGACUGGGCAUUUUCAUUGUACAGGAGAGUGCAGUGUAGCUAAUUGUUUCUAAUGCAACCACAGGGCAAGUUACAUGUACAUUGCUCUAUGUCCAUUAGCACACUUUACAAUCACAUGAAACCAGAAGUCUGUAGCAAAGUCUUCUGAUCAAGUGAACGUGGAAUUAAACCGUCCAAAAGGGGGACAUAAGUUGGCUUGACGAAAGUCCGAAGCCUAAGUUACCAAGGCAGAAAUCCCAAGCGAAAUGACCUCAGAGUCGCCCUGCACUGAAGGAACUGUAUCCUGAAGUCAUGGAGGGCAUGCUCCUUCAUCAAGUGCAAGGGGUCCAAGGCUUAUAGAAGAUGGGAGGAAGACACUGGCACUUGUGGUACUACUUUGAAGCAAGUGAAGCAACACCUGCUUUAUACCAUCCCAAAACUGCAAAACGAAAGGCCAAAUAUAGAUAUGAGGAUGAUAGCCCGCUUGAUACAGCUUCCAAACAAGGCAUUUAAAGCAUCCACAGCAGAGCGUAAAAUUAUGGUUGGACAUUUGACAUUUUCUGAGCACUUACUGUGUUUGUUCGAACAAAAUCAAAGAUUAUCGGGCAAAUUGUCCAACUAACAUAUCAAUAACAGCUCUUAAAAUAUCAAGAAAAUUUGAGGUAUUUUGGCGUCCGAUUUAUUAUUAGUUUGUGUUUGAAUUACAUUAAUUAUGCCCAAGGCAUUCAUCAGGGCUGAUCACUUAUCACCGCCCCAUGUCACCCAGCGCCACACGUGUAUGAACACACGUGUGUACACUUUACUUGCACAGACAUGAAAUCGCCCCAUAAUUCUUUGUGCAUCGUAAAAGGUAGUUCAUGCUGUUAACCAAUGUUCAAUUUUCUGUAGUAACCCAUGCAUAACACAUAACCUGGGUACCAGGCAAUAUGGACUAGUUGUGGUUGGCUGCGUUCGCGCGGUUCCUCCAGUUCAACCCAAUUGUGGUGCGUGCAUUAUAUUCUUAUAUGUGCGAUAGGGGUAUACCUUCGUUGACUUGCGGGUCUUACUCCUGCCAAACACGAAUAGCUCAUUCGAACGCAGCCCUUAGUCAUGGCUUAAACGUGCUCAGAGUCAGACUGUUUCUUGGUCCCCAUUGUCUGAACAAAAAUAAGAAUGGGGUUAGGAACCCCAACUGUACCUUUUUUUAAUAUGGCAUAUCAAAAGCUGGUAAAGGCAGAACAAAAUUGAUUGUGUUAUGACAUUUUUUGGUCUAAUUUCACGCUCUGCACAGAAUACCAAGGCUUGAUCGACGCCCGAGUUCCAGCUAAAGAAAAUUCAGUUUGUAAGUCCAAUGACAACAGCCAUUUCUACGCAGCCAGGGUUUGCUAUGUACUGGAACUUGCAUCUAAGUUCAUCUCCUGUUCCAUCAUCUACUAUGUGGACAAUAAGAACAAAAUCAAGGUUGGGGAAGGUACUCUUGAUCGUUGCAUCAAGGUGACAAAGCUGUUUCCAAACAGCGAUGCGCCCAACUACAGCAACCAUGCUUUCCCUACCCCUGAAUACCUCCUUGUCCCAUUGAGAUAUCUCAGGAUGAAGCCAUCCACUUAGAAAGAUCACCUUAGAAGAGACUGGUUUGUACUUCCAAAAAAUGACCAGGCGACUGUCUUUCUUCGAAGUCCUCAUUCACCGUGCACGAUUGCGAUGCACAUCAACGACAUCUUGGGGGAACUCAACUUGGCUGCUGAUGUAUCAACUGGUAGAUCGUUGAUGGUGAUGAUCACUGAUGGUGGGGCUGACUUCAAUGUAAAUCACACCGUCAAUGAAGUCUACUGUGUCCGCCUUUUCCGAAAUACUGAACUUCAUGCUUUGGUGGUGACAUCGUAUUGCCCCAGACAUUCAGUACUCAAUCCAGUCGAACGAGUCUGGGUACCAUGCACCAAAGCGUUAAUAUCCAUCAGUCUGCCUGCAUGUGUAUAUGGGGAGACCAUUCCCCCGUGCCCAAAGGCAUCUCUCAAAAGAUGAAAAGGAAGAAAGGGGACAUCGUGUGUUCAACUGCGCCAUGGGGCUCAUCAAGGACAUGUACUGGGCAGGGCUUACUUUUGCCGGAAAAACAAUCAGAACAUUCGUGCGUGACAGUGGGUCUGCAAAGCAACCAUACAACCAUGAUGACUACCUCAAGACUCAUAAGGCUGUAUCGGAGUCUGCCAAGAAGUUGUUGGAAGAUGCCAGAAGCCACGAGGACUAUUUAUUCACGAUGAAGCAUAUCGAGAGAAGAAUAGUGAUAUGCAUUUAUACAAAGUGCAGCGAUGCUGCAUACAUUCACUGCGUAGCCCGCCCUCCCCACAAAGCGUCUCAAGAAAUGCUUGAAUGUGUUCGUAGGUUCCCCUCCCCCAAACCAUCCAUGGACAACCCAGGACAUUUCAUGACUUUCAUGAGGCCCUCAACUCCAGCCAUGUACCAGUAUGUGACCACCUUCCCAUAUUCCAACAAAAGGGACUAGGCAGGUGCCCAGAAUCUAACUGCAACUAUGUUUUUACAAGCAAGAAAGAUAUCGGGGACCACAGAGCAAAGGUUCAUGGCAGGUAUUCUGCAUAGAACUACAUGUCAACAAUAUCUGUUGUGGUCCCACAUUGUAUUUUAGGUGAAUUUUGCAAUGGGAAUAUUUUGAAACAAGGGAAUAUUUCUACAUUAUUGGGGUUUGUGAAGGUACUUGUAUACUGUACAUGGAUGCGCAUCAUUCACCACCUACUGGGUCUUAACAAGAUUAUUUCUUUCUGUAUCCCCAAGUAGCUAUGUGAAAAACAUGUAUCGUAGUUUGAACAUCCAAGUGUAUUAAAAACCUUCAACGUGUACACUCGUAUGUCAUGCCCCUCCAGCUCCCUAUUUGUAUUGUUUCAUCUUUUAAAGAUUAUUAGCUGUUAUGAUUAUAAUACCGUAACUCACUUUUCGGUAUAUUCUGUUUUGUACUCCCAAGAUAGGCAUAGUCCUUGAAGACGAUGGUCGAAGCACAAGUGCAUAUUAAAGUUAUUCUUAAUUCUCUGCCAGAAACAUGGGUUGACAUUUUUUCGAUUAGUCCAGUAUCUGUACCCACAUGUACAUUCGCUACGAGUAGCCUAUACAGGGCUUAAAAUGCCUGUGCAUUUAUUUUCAAAAGUAUUUUCUCCAGAUUUUUGUAAACAUGAAAACGAAGGACUGAUUCAAACAAUAAGGUUUAGUUUCUAUUGUUUUGAGCAUAAGACCUAAGGCAAUAAAAUAAAGUUGGUCUAAUAGUUAAGAAAUGUAUUCAAACAUACAAGGCCAUGUUUGGAGUUUUCCUUUCAAUGUUUUCAUCAAUGUUUUUCAACCAUCUUAUCAACUGAUUUUCUUGUUCGGUUCAUCUGCUUAAAAACUUUACCUGCUUGAUGUAAUAAUUGAGAUUUGAUACCGUUCGCAAUCAAACAAGAAUACAUGUAUACAUCUACUAUGAAACUACCAGUAUUGAACAGGAAUGAAUUUUUCCAGAGACAAAUGCCUGGAAAAAAGCAAGCAUGAGUCCAAGUCUUUUUGGGGAUUUUGACUUCUGCAUGUGCAUGUACAAGUAGGCCAGCAAAAGGGCAAGGCAAGCCGAGCACGUUUUAUAAGUUGGUGCUUGGAUUUUUACGAUAAAGUUAAGAGGAGGCUGAGAAAUUUUUGUUAUAGUCUAAAAUUGGUCUUCAAGUGGGAGAGGAGAGGCCUUUUUUUUCAAAAAAAGGAGAAAAGACAUCCCUUACCAUCACUGCUAGCUGCUGAGGACCAAAGAAAGCAAACACAAUUGAAAUGGGGGACUUCAUAGUCUCUAAAAGAAAAACUAAAGAAGAAAUUCACAUUGUAUAUCGGUAAACUGUUGGUCACCGAAUACAAGACCUCUCAAAAUGGAAAAAAAAUUGUUUUCAAUUUCUGACCCUAGAAGGUCAGCAGAUCUGAGCACUACCUUAAAAAAACUCUUGCCUAAUGCAGGCUGGAGUUUUUCUACUUUGCGUUUCAUUGAAGCUUUCUCAAACAUUUCGUCUACUACAAAACUUUUUUUUUUUUAAGGCAAGAGCUCUUCAUGUCUCUCCCAUAAAACUCUUCAACUGUGCAUCAUUUUGCUGAAACUUUUUACCAUUAAAUAAACCUGCAAAAAAAAGGAAGAGUCAAAAACGUUUGACAGAUUAACAGUGUUCUGUAUCAACAAGGAAUCAAACCGUGAGUGCCAAUAUGUACGUUUAGCUGAUACUUCUUGUUGCAUAGAGUCGAUGGGAAUUGUUCCAGCAUGUCAUACACCGUGACCAAGCUAUUAUGUUGAUGCAUACCAGACACAUGUGAAGCACUGGGCCUGUUCUGCACACGAAAGAAUGGUAGGAUUAAAGAACAAUAGCUGGGGCAUUUCAUCCCAUUCUCAAGCGUGGGAAUGCGAAGAAUGUUUUGGUCUUGUCCCUAACUAAGUUCCUGUUAGGGGCACACACUAAGGCCACAAGGGAGAAGAGGUUCCUGUACAAGUUUGUCAUAAUGACGUCAUUAGCUUGCAAAUCUCAUGACAUUAAAGGGGCACUCUUUAAAGCACUAUAUCUAGUGAAGUACAUGUCCGAUUGGGUUGAAGUGUUGCAGAUAGCAAGAAAGGGAAGGGUUCACGAUGGAAAUUGAUUUCAUCCGAUAGUGGUAUCAUUAUAUGACAAAUCAUGUGACAUAUAUCGCGAUGACAUGGAUUUUUAAAGUUUCCACUGACUGCUUUUCAUUUUUGGCCAUUAUGACAAUUUUAUUUAAAUGAUUUGUAAAAACCAAAGUCAUUCUUUUGUCAAGGUUUCUUCCUUCUCCCCAUUGAUCUUCUCCCAAUUCAUCAUUCAUCAUCAGUGCAUGGCCUGUAAGAACAAUGUAAGAAUCCUGACAUUUUGGACAAUGAAUGCAGAUAUUUAGUCUUUUCUUGACGGGCAUUUUCUGACUGUAACUGUUGGGAUCGAUAUUUGAGCAAUUUUUAAUGAAUUAAAGGUCUUUCCAUCAUAACUUCUGGUCUGAUGACAUCAUUAGCCCAAAGUUUUGCACAAACAUUGCAGGCAUAAAGGUCAUUGUAUGGACCAAAUUUUCAAGCAAUUCUGGCAAACUUUGCCACAGACAUCUUGUAACAAUGUUGAGAUUUUGUGAACAGCUGGGAUACAGGAUGCACCUUUAAGUUUCCAGAAAAGUGUAGUGGUAAAUGAGUCAAACACCAGAUGUUCAUCAAGGCCAGUUGACCCAUUGAUAAAACUUGGCUAUUUACUUGGAAUGUGGGGGCUGAGGCCAGUGGGUCCAUAACUUGCCCUUUUUUCAUAGAAUAAUAUUUCUUUGAAAUGAAGGGGUAGAACUUUGAGUCUGAUGAGACCAGUUUCGAUGCUUUAAACCUGUGAAGUGUUUUCGUGUUGAGAAAAUACUUGUUUUGUGAAUUAUUUUGCUGUGGUGAAAAACUAGUUGGCAAGCAUUAGGAUUUUCCUCGCAAGCUCCCUGUUUGACUGUUAGAAGCUUUGCAUGAGGCAAAGUUUUGAAAAUCAAAGAAACACGUAUUCUUUACCAACUUCUGUUUGUCAACAAACACUUCCUCCGAGUCUGAAUUGUCCGUGCACUUGGGCCAGGACGGUUGCUUAAAGUUUGGUUACUGCGACCCAUAAUUCAGCGCUACUUAAAACAUCUCAUGACAAGUUAAGAAGUCGAGAUUGUUACACAUCUAUUCAAGAUACAUUUUAAACUUUUUUCAUUCACUCACCAAAGGACCCUCAAACUUGAAUAACAUCAGCAGUAUAUGUUUUAAGGAAUACUAUUGUGUCGGAGACUAACACAGGUGAAAGUAAGUUUGUGUCUAUUACCAACUUUAAAUAAUAAAGUAUUUCCAGUUUGGACCAGUUUCGACUGGAAGGAAAAAGGUCAGGUAAUUUUAUGUAUACGAGAAGAAAUGAAGACCGAAGUUUACUUUAUCUAUUGGUGCAAAAAGCCAGCUGCUUGAAGUCACGGUUGAUUUUAUGUCGAUUUUUGAAGACUGAACAUGAAUAAAAUUCAAGCUCUUGUAAUUUGACAUCUAGAGACGUCAUCAUGAAGUCUUUGUUCUAGUACAAUCUCAGUAUCUGAGCUUUUGCUUUGUGUAACUUUGAUGAAGGAACAAUAUUGCCAAGUGACCUGAAAAUCUUUGGCAAUAUGUGUUGAAGAAUGAAUAUUCAAAAUUAUAUUGAUGACAUCAUCAUGAUGUCAUGCUUUGAUGCACAUCUUUGAAUGAUGAUUCAAGUAUCUGCCAGGUUGGAAGGAAAUUGGAAUUGUUUUAAAACCAAAAUGUCUCAUGUUAUGUCUAUGGGCAAAGAGUGGAAAAAGAAAA